This 437-nucleotide ribosomal RNA is filed under the name uncultured bacterium. RNAcentral's name for it is "bacterial SSU rRNA". It matches the Rfam family "Bacterial small subunit ribosomal RNA", at positions 355 to 796 of the family's 1533-position model. The record is from RNAcentral.
UCGAGAAUCUUUCACAAUGGGGGCAACCCUGAUGGAGCGACGCCGCGUGGAGGAUAAGGUCUUCGGAUUGUAAACUCCUGUCAUGCGAGAGCAAGGCAUAGCAAUAUGUUUGAUAGUAUCGCAAGAGGAAGAGACGGCUAACUCUGUGCCAGCAGCCGCGGUAAUACAGAGGUCUCAAGCGUUGUUCGGAAUCACUGGGCGUAAAGGGUGCGUAGGCGGCGGAGUAAGUCGGGUGUGAAAUUUGAAGGCUCAACCUUCAACUAGCACCUGAUACUGCUUCGCUAGAGAUCUGGAGAGGGACUUGGAAUUCUCGGUGUAGCAGUGAAAUGCGUAGAUUUCGAGAAGAACGCUCGCAGCGAAAGCGAAGUCCUGGACAGCAUCUGACGCUGAGGCACGAAGGCUAGGGGAGCAAACGGGAUUAGAUACCCCCGUAGUCC